CCUACGGGAGGCAGCAGUGAGGAAUAUUGGUCAAUGGCCGAGAGGCUGAACCAGCCAAGUCGCGUGAGGGAAGACGGCCCUACGUGUUGUAAACCUCUUUUGUCGGGGAACAAAGAGAGUCACGUGUGCCUCGUUGAGAGUACCCGAAGAAAAAGCAUCGGCUAACUCCGUGCCAGCAGCCGCGGUAAUACGGAGGAUGCGAGCGUUAUCCGGCUUUCUUGGGUUUAAAGGGUGCGCAGGCGGCGGUGCAAGUCAGCGGUCAAAUUGCGGGGCUCAACCCCGUACUGCCGUUGAACCUGCAUCCCUAGAGUGCGCGAGAAGUAUGCGGAAGGCGUGGUGUAGCGGUGAAAUGCAUAGAUAUCACGCAGAACUCCGAUUGCGAAGGCAGCAUACCGGCGCGCAACUGACGCUGAUGCACGAAAGCGUGGGUAUCGAACAGGAUUAGAUACCCGAGUAGUC
This 459-nucleotide ribosomal RNA is filed under the name uncultured bacterium. RNAcentral describes it as "partial 16S ribosomal RNA". It matches the Rfam family "Bacterial small subunit ribosomal RNA", at positions 338 to 795 of the family's 1533-position model. The record is from RNAcentral.